RNAcentral lists this non-coding RNA (238 nucleotides) under Clostridium botulinum. RNAcentral describes it as "T-box sequence". It matches the Rfam family "T-box leader". From Rfam's summary of the family: Uncharged tRNA acts as the effector for transcription antitermination of genes in the T-box leader family. T-boxes are found upstream of many aminoacyl-tRNA synthetase genes and some amino acid biosynthetic genes usually in Gram-positive bacteria. The record is from RNAcentral. Lineage: Bacteria; Bacillati; Bacillota; Clostridia; Eubacteriales; Clostridiaceae.
AUAAAUGCUAUGAAGAGAAGAGUAGUGAAAAGGAAUUCUUAAAGAGAGCUGAUAUGUGGUGAAAGUUAGCAGAAGAAAUUUUCAUGAAGAUGGCCUUGGAGCAUAUUUCCCAAGCAAUAUUUGUUAAGGAAUUUACGGCAGCAUCCGUUAUAAUGCAAGGUGAUGAUAGUCACCUAAUGAGUUAUUUAUUGUGAAAUAAAUAAAAAGUAGAGUGGUAACACGUAUAUACGUCUCUAUA